UGCUCCCUGGCCCAGUUGGUUAAGGCACACGACUGUUAAACUCACCAAAUUGCUGGUAAUUUGAUGAUUAGGUGAUCGUGGGAUCGAGAGUUCGAGUCUCUCGGGAGCAG
Molecule: non-coding RNA, 110 nt
Organism: Mycena sp. CBHHK59/15
Lineage: Eukaryota; Fungi; Basidiomycota; Agaricomycetes; Agaricales; Mycenaceae
Source: the annotation of a GenBank genome assembly